Molecule: ribosomal RNA, 508 nt
Filed under: Hyphydrus ovatus
Lineage: Eukaryota; Metazoa; Arthropoda; Insecta; Coleoptera; Dytiscidae
Description: partial 16S ribosomal RNA
Rfam family: Bacterial large subunit ribosomal RNA
Source: RNAcentral
GUCCUUUAGGAUAAUAAUUUAAGGUCUAAUCUGCCCACUGAUUAAUUAAAUGGCCGCAGUAAUUUGACUGUGCAAAGGUAGCAUAAUCAUUAGUUUUUUAAUUGAAAGCUUGUAUGAAUGAUUGGACGAGAUAAAAUCUGUCUCUUAAUUAAAAUUAGAAUUUAAUUUUUAAGUUAAAAAGCUUAAAUUUUUAUGAAAGACGAGAAGACCCUAUAGAUCUUAAUUUAUAUAUGUUAUAAUUUUUAUAAAGAUUAUUUUAUUAUUUAUAAUUUUAUAAAUUUUAUUGGGGUAAUAAAAAGAUUAGAGUAAUUCUUUUUUAAUUUUUACAAUUAUUAUUGAUUAUAAGAUCCUCUAUUAGUGAUUAAAAGAUUAAGUUACCUUAGGGAUAACAGCGUAAUUUUUUUAAAGAGUUCAUAUCGAUAAAAAAGAUUGCGACCUCGAUGUUGGAUUAAAAGUAAUUUUAGGUGCAGAAGUCUGAAGUUUUGGUCUGUUCGACCAUUAAAUUUUU